GGGGGCGUAGCUCAGCUGGGAGAGCACCUGCCUUGCAAGCAGGGGGUCAGCGGUUCGAUUCCGCUCGUCUCCA
Molecule: transfer RNA, 73 nt
Filed under: Carboxydocella thermautotrophica
Lineage: Bacteria; Bacillati; Bacillota; Clostridia; Eubacteriales; Clostridiales Family XVI. Incertae Sedis
Also listed under: 2 other names
Description: tRNA-Ala
Rfam family: tRNA
About the family: Transfer RNA (tRNA) molecules are approximately 80 nucleotides in length. Their secondary structure includes four short double-helical elements and three loops (D, anti-codon, and T loops). Further hydrogen bonds mediate the characteristic L-shaped molecular structure. tRNAs have two regions of fundamental functional importance: the anti-codon, which is responsible for specific mRNA codon recognition, and the 3' end, to which the tRNAs corresponding amino acid is attached (by aminoacyl-tRNA synthetases). tRNAs cope with the degeneracy of the genetic code in two manners: having more than one tRNA (with a specific anti-codon) for a particular amino acid; and 'wobble' base-pairing, i.e. permitting non-standard base-pairing at the 3rd anti-codon position.
Source: RNAcentral